This 345-nucleotide unclassified non-coding RNA is filed under the name soil metagenome. RNAcentral's name for it is "partial contains 5.8S ribosomal RNA, internal transcribed spacer 2, and large subunit ribosomal RNA". The stretch from base 1 to 120 matches the Rfam family "5.8S ribosomal RNA", at positions 35 to 154 of the family's 154-position model. The record is from RNAcentral.
GAUGAAGAACGUAGCGAAAUGCGAUACGUAAUGUGAAUUGCAGAAUUCAGUGAAUCAUCGAGUCUUUGAACGCACAUUGCGCCCCCUGGUAUUCCGGGGGGCAUGCCUGUCCGAGCGUCAUUGCUGCCCUCAAGCCCGGCUUUGUGUUGGGUCUCGUCCCCCUUCCCGGGGGGACGGGCCCGAAAGGCAGCGGCGGCACCGCGUCCGGUCCUCGAGCGUAUGGGGCUUUGUCACCCGCUCUGUAGGCCCGGCCGGCGCUUGCCGAUCAACCAAAACUUUUUUCCAGGUUGACCUCGGAUCAGGUAGGGAUACCCGCUGAACUUAAGCAUAUCAAUAAGCGGAGGA